UCUCCAUCUGCCCCAUGCCAGCUUCACAGUGUCCUCCAAACUAAAUUUCACUUUUCUUUUUCUUUUUAAACAGGCUGUGAAGUUUGUUCUAAUUAUACUGACUUGCUGGUAACAGAAAGAUCGCCUGGGCAUGUCCCCCUCAAUAUCUCCAAAGUGUCUUUCAGUGUGGAAAAAUGGAACAACUUCACUUCUCGAUGGGAUGAAGUAAUCAUCUCUGUUAUGGGGAAUUCAAAGUCUCUCAAUGGCCCCAUCAAAGAGCAGGUCUCUGUGUGUGGGGGAUAUUUCAAUCUGAAAAACGUGAGCAAAGCAGCUGAGGGAUAUUAUAAGGUGAUAUUGGUACUAUCUGGAAAGUGUGUGGCCUGUAUACAUCUGAGAGUGCUGGAGCCCACCUCAUCCCCACCUCCCACACCACAAACCCCCAGAGUGAGUGAGGAACCCACCACUAAGAGUGGAAAAGAGGGAUUGAAGGCUUUGAAAUGGACCAUUCCUGUUGGGCUUUUUGCUAUGGUGCUGAUGAUGUUCUGAUAACAGAGAUUCAUUAUCUUUUGAGGGAAAAAUCAUGGUUACCAAUAAAGAUCUGUCUGUGCCAUGGGCCUGAAGUUUC
This 604-nucleotide long non-coding RNA is filed under the name Gopherus agassizii (Agassiz's desert tortoise). Its description in RNAcentral is "lncRNA (ENSGAGG00000010024.1)". The record is from RNAcentral. Lineage: Eukaryota; Metazoa; Chordata; Testudines; Testudinidae.